AGACAGCGCCGCUUCCCCGGCAAAGGCAGCAGCUCCGGGAACGCCGCGAAGGGACUCCCAUUUCUCCCGCCUCGGCGGCGCCAGGGCCGGCACGGCCGGCCAGUCGGCUGCGGCCCGGGAGGCUCUGGAAAGAGGGCCGAGCCAAGGCCGAGGGCCGAGCCGCCGCCGGAGAAGGCCGAUUACCCGGCCCCGUCAGCGCCCGCCCUAGCCCCGCGCCGCGCAGGGGGAGCGCCGCAACGGGGCUGGCUAGGAGGGCGAGCGGCUCACGACCGGAAACGGGACGUCCAGUAAUCCACGGCUCGGCGCCUGGGCCGCGCGAGCAAACCGGAAGUCAGGCCGGAGGGAGAUGGGAGGGCGUUCGCCAAGCCAGUGCUGGGGCAGAGUAGGGGAGAGAUUAAAUGCAUUUAUGGAAAAAGGAAAGUUGAAUAGUAAGAUGAUAGCAGAAUAUUGUAAUACGGCACUGGAUUCCUCAGUGGAAAACAGCAUGUAUGUAAACAAAGUGUGGGUUCAGUGUGAGAAUGAAAGUUGUUUGAAAUGGAGAUUGUUGUCAAGUGAGGAUGCAGCCAAAGUUGAUCACAAUGAACCAUGGUACUGCUUCAUGAACACUGAUUUAAGGUACAAUAAGUGCUCUGUUUCUGAAGAAGACUUUCCUGAAGAGUCUCAGCUUCAUCAAAGUGGAUUUAAGAUCGUCUAUUCACAGCUCCCUCUUGGAAGCCUGGUUUUGGUAAAAUUACAGACUUGGCCAAGUUGGCCAGGGAUACUUUGCCCUGAUCCUUUUAAAGGGAAAUAUGUGACCUAUGACCUGGAUGGAGAUGUUGAACAGUAUCACAUAGAAUUCCUGGGUGAUCCCCAUUCAAGAUCAUGGAUAAAUGCAACGUUUGUUGGACAUUAUAGUAUCACAUUAAAGCCAGGAAAAUGUAAGAAUAAAAAGAAGUGGUAUAAAAGUGCACUACAAGAAGCAUACCUCCUCUAUGGAUACUCUCAUGAGCAAAGACUGGAAAGGUGCUGCCUAUCAAAACAGGACAAAUCCAAAGCAGAUGGCAAAGUUGCUGUGGUGGCCAAGAAAAGGAUGCAAGUUUCCAAAAAUAAUACUAAAAAGAAAAAGCCCAAAUUUAGAAAAAGGAAAAGGAAAACUGUUUUAAAAUCAUCUUUUGAAAAUGUUUGUUCAGAUGAUGCCUUAUCAAAGGAAAACAUGGUUGUCUCUGAGACAGAACUUUUACUAAAAGAGCUGGAGCAAAUGCUAGAGCAAGCACUGGAGCCCACAGCCGCCCCUGAUGAGUCCGAAGGGGAGCGCGGAGAGGAGACAGAUACAGGAGAAAAGGUGGAAGACAUUAACUGCAUGAUGACCAGACUGUAGCCAUGACAUAAGCUGCCACAAUUCUGAGAACUGGCCUCAAAGAAAUGGGAACAAACCGACUCUGGAACUGAAGAUUAACUGUACCUAAAACAAUCAAGAUGAUGGUGGUCAGACCAUUGGUGGAUGACCAAUUUCAAGAUGAGCGUCAGAGCUGACUGUGCUGUCUCUGCAUGUAGUCCCCUCCCUCCGCCUAUGAAAGCUCUUGCCCACUGAUUGUCAGUGGGAGGAGUCGGCCUUUGGACAGGAGCCUGCCCCGCAACCUGGUUGCCGGCCUCCAAAAUAAAGGAAGCUUUCCUUUCCCCCAGCCUUGCCUCUUUAUUGGCUUUUGAGCGGCGAGCAGCUGGACCCACUUUAGCACUGGCUGCCAAACUACGCUUUUCCUUGGUGGAACGGAAAGAUGCCUCAGGACGAGCUGACGAGCUCCAAGACCAAAUAAGGCUCACCUGUAUGACCAUAAGGGAGUUACAAACAUGGCAGAGGGUGACCUUCAAGGCAGGUCAGAAGAGACAUUGAGGCU
This is an RNA transcript of Eubalaena glacialis (North Atlantic right whale), 1874 nucleotides long. It is a transcript of the gene named zinc finger CW-type and PWWP domain containing 2, with no coding region annotated. The transcript is spliced from 11 exons. Lineage: Eukaryota; Metazoa; Chordata; Mammalia; Artiodactyla; Balaenidae. The record is from RefSeq and is a predicted model, not a curated record.